UUUGAGGAAAACGCACUCAGUCAUCCUAUGGUACACGGCAGCUAGGGACUGAAAUGUCUCACGACGGUGUAGACUCAGCUCGUGUAACCAGUGACACCGAGAACAGCGGAGCCGACCGGACAAUAUAUCACCCUCCAACAUGUGAUGUUCUGACAAAGUGCUGGAAAAGGGUACUGGGACAGUGUCUGGUGGGUAGUUUGAGUGGGGUGGUCUCCUCCCAACGCGUAACGGAGGAGCGCGAAGGUUUGCUAAUGACGGUCGGGGAUCGUCAGGUUAGUGCAAUGGUAUAAGCAAGCUUAACUGCGAGACAGACAAGUCGAGCAGGUCCGAAAGCAGGUCAUAGUGAUCCGGUGGUUCUGAAUGGAAGGGCCAUCGCUCAACGGAUAAAAGGUAGUCCGGGGAUAACAGGCUGAUACCGCCCACGAGUUCAUAUCGACGGCGGUGUUUGGCACCUUGAUGUCGAAUCAUCACAUCCUGGGGCUGAAGUAGGUCCCAAGGGUAUGAAUGUUCGCCAUUUAAAGUGGUACGCGAGCUGGGUUUAGAACGUCGUGAGACAGUUCGUUCCCUUUCUGCCGUGGG
RNAcentral lists this ribosomal RNA (579 nucleotides) under Pasteurella multocida. RNAcentral describes it as "partial 23S ribosomal RNA". It matches the Rfam family "Bacterial large subunit ribosomal RNA", at positions 2088 to 2636 of the family's 2925-position model. The record is from RNAcentral. Lineage: Bacteria; Pseudomonadati; Pseudomonadota; Gammaproteobacteria; Pasteurellales; Pasteurellaceae.